AAAUUAGGCAAUAUUCUACAUUUUCAUGAUGAACUUAGAAAUAGGUCAAUGUCUAAGAGCAAACCCACAAUAGAUUGCAAUAGUCACCAUGAUGACCUUAUGUCUGAUCACGACUAGAAAUGACUAUCAGUGAUUGGUUAAUUCCCAAAAACAACACACCAUACACAAUCAGAUACAACUUAAAGGCAAAACCAAGUUACCCAGAUCUUCAAUUCUAAUCAUGUACUACCUCAACUUAAUAUUUUUAGCAUUAUUAAACCAGGUUAACUUGCUGGCUGGGUUGCAAUAAAUUCAAUCCAAAUCGAAACCCCAACCCCAACAUUAGAAGUUCG
Molecule: unclassified non-coding RNA, 332 nt
Filed under: Hevea brasiliensis (rubber tree)
Lineage: Eukaryota; Viridiplantae; Streptophyta; Magnoliopsida; Malpighiales; Euphorbiaceae
Source: RNAcentral